UACGUAGGGUGCAAGCGUUAAUCGGAAUUACUGGGCGUAAAGCGUGCGCAGGCGGUUUUGUAAGUCUGUCGUGAAAUCCCCGGGCUCAACCUGGGAAUUGCGAUGGAGACUGCAAGGCUAGAAUCUGGCAGAGGGGGGUAGAAUUCCAGGUGUAGCGGUGAAAUGCUUAGAUAUCUGGAGGAACACCAGUGGCGAAGGCGGUGUUCUGGGCCUGUACUGACGCUGAUGCGCGAAAGCGUGGGGAGCGAACAGG
This 253-nucleotide ribosomal RNA is filed under the name uncultured bacterium. Its description in RNAcentral is "partial 16S ribosomal RNA". It matches the Rfam family "Bacterial small subunit ribosomal RNA", at positions 524 to 776 of the family's 1533-position model. The record is from RNAcentral.